This 254-nucleotide ribosomal RNA is filed under the name uncultured bacterium. Its description in RNAcentral is "partial 16S ribosomal RNA". It matches the Rfam family "Bacterial small subunit ribosomal RNA", at positions 524 to 776 of the family's 1533-position model. The record is from RNAcentral.
UACGUAGGGUGCGAGCGUUGUCCGGAAUUAUUGGGCGUAAAGAGCUCGUAGGCGGUGUGUCACGUCGGCCGUGAAAACCUGGGGCUUAACUCUGGGCGUGCGGUCGAUACGGGCAUCACUAGAGUUCGGCAGGGGAGACUGGAAUUCCUGGUGUAGCGGUGAAAUGCGCAGAUAUCAGGAGGAACACCGGUGGCGAAGGCGGGUCUCUGGGCCGAUACUGACGCUGAGGAGCGAAAGCAUGGGGAGCGAACAGG